RNAcentral lists this ribosomal RNA (301 nucleotides) under uncultured bacterium. RNAcentral describes it as "partial 16S ribosomal RNA". It matches the Rfam family "Bacterial small subunit ribosomal RNA", at positions 509 to 807 of the family's 1533-position model. The record is from RNAcentral.
CAGUCGCCGCGGUAAUACGAAGGGGGCUAGCGUUGCUCGGAAUUACUGGGCGUAAAGCGUGCGCAGGCGGUUAUAUAAGUCAGAUGUGAAAUCCCCGGGCUCAACCUGGGAACUGCAUUUGAGACUGUAUGGCUAGAGUGUGUCAGAGGGGGGUAGAAUUCCACGUGUAGCAGUGAAAUGCAUAGAUAUGUGGAGGAAUACCGAUGGCGAAGGCAGCCCCCUGGGAUAACACUGACGCUCAUGCACGAAAGCGUGGGGAGCAAACAGGAUUAGAUACCCGCGUAGUCCCUGUCUCUUAUAC